Molecule: transfer RNA, 28 nt
Filed under: Metrosideros perforata
Lineage: Eukaryota; Viridiplantae; Streptophyta; Magnoliopsida; Myrtales; Myrtaceae
Description: partial transfer RNA-His
Source: RNAcentral
CGGAUGUAGCCAAGAGGAUCAAGGCAGU